Molecule: non-coding RNA, 73 nt
Organism: Paramuricea clavata
Lineage: Eukaryota; Metazoa; Cnidaria; Anthozoa; Malacalcyonacea; Plexauridae
Source: the annotation of a GenBank genome assembly
CCUCUGCAUAGCUCAGUUGGCUGGAACGCUGCACCAGAAUCGCAGGGCCGCAGGUUCGAUUCCUACCAGAGCG